RNAcentral lists this ribosomal RNA (996 nucleotides) under uncultured bacterium. Its description in RNAcentral is "bacterial SSU rRNA". It matches the Rfam family "Bacterial small subunit ribosomal RNA", at positions 9 to 998 of the family's 1533-position model. The record is from RNAcentral.
GAGUUUGAUCAUGGCUCAGAACGAACGCUGGCGGCGUGUUUAAGACAUGCAAGUCGAACGAGAUGACACCGGUAUUUAUAUUGGUUGACUCUAGUGGCGCACGGGUGAGUAACACGUGAACAACAUACCCUCGAGUGGGGGAUAGCCCGCCGAAAGGCGGAUUAAUACCCCAUGGUAUCUUCGGAUUAAAGAUGGCUUCGGCUGUCGCUUGAGGAUUGGUUCGCGCCCUAUCAGCUUGUUGGUGAGGUAACGGCUCACCAAGGCUACGACGGGUACCUGGUUUGAGAGGACGAUCAGGCACACUGGAACUGAGACACGGUCCAGACACCUACGGGUGGCAGCAGUCGAGAAUAAUUCACAAUGGGCGAAAGCCUGAUGGUGCAACGCCGCGUGGAGGAUGACGGUCUUCGGAUUGUAAACUCCUGUCAUCAGGGAGUAAGACCUGGGUGUUAAUAGCACACAGGGUUGAUAGUACCUGAAGAGGAAGGGACGGCUAACUUCGUGCCAGCAGCCGCGGUAAUACGAAGGUCCCAAGCGUUGUUCGGAUUCACUGGGCGUAAAGGGAGCGUAGGCUGUGCGGUAAGUCAGAUGUGAAAUCCCGGGGCUCAACCCCGGAACUGCAUCCGAUACUGCCGUACUAGAGUAUUGGAGAGGUAACAGGAAUUCACGGUGUAGCAGUGAAAUGCGUAGAUAUCGUGAGGAAGACCAAUGGCGAAAGCAUGUUACUGGACAAUCACUGACGCUGAGGCUCGAAAGCCAGGGUAGCGAAAGGGAUUAGAUACCCCUGUAGUCCUGGCAGUAAACGGUGCGCGCUUGGUGUGAAGGGGAUUCGACCCCCCUUGUGCCGGAGCUAACGCGUUAAGCGCGCCGCCUGGGAAGUACGGUCGCAGACUAAAACUCAAGAAAUUGACGGGGACCCGCACAGCGGUGGAGUAUGUGGCUUAAUUCGAUGCAACGCGAAGAACCCUUACCAAGGCUUGACAUGCAUCUCUAAAU